This 450-nucleotide ribosomal RNA is filed under the name uncultured bacterium. RNAcentral describes it as "partial 16S ribosomal RNA". It matches the Rfam family "Bacterial small subunit ribosomal RNA", at positions 354 to 796 of the family's 1533-position model. The record is from RNAcentral.
GUGGGGAAUCUUCCGCAAUGGGCGAAAGCCUGACGGAGCAACGCCGCGUGAGUGAUGACGGCCUUCGGGUUGUAAAGCUCUGUUAUAUGGGACGAACGGGCAUGGGGCCAAUACCCUCAUGCAGUGACGGUACCGUAAGAGAAAGCCACGGCUAACUACGUGCCAGCAGCCGCGGUAAUACGUAGGUGGCAAGCGUUGUCCGGAAUUAUUGGGCGUAAAGGGCGUGUAGGCGGCCAGACAAGUCUGUCUUAAAAGUGCGGGGCUCAACCCCGUGAUGGGAUGGAAACUGUCGGGCUAGAGUGUCGGAGAGGAAAGCGGAAUUCCUAGUGUAGCGGUGAAAUGCGUAGAUAUUAGGAGGAACACCAGUGGCGAAAGCGGCUUUCUGGACGACAACUGACGCUGAGGCGCGAAAGCCAGGGGAGCAAACGGGAUUAGAAACCCGAGUAGUCC